Molecule: long non-coding RNA, 4713 nt
Organism: Girardinichthys multiradiatus
Lineage: Eukaryota; Metazoa; Chordata; Actinopteri; Cyprinodontiformes; Goodeidae
Exons: 4
Source: RefSeq, a predicted model, not a curated record
AAGGGCGGAGUAUGACGCAUCAGCAUCACCACAGCGUGGAGGAUAGAACAUGAGAUGCAGCAAGUCAAUCAAAAUUGCAGCCCCCUCGUACAGACACACAAACACAAAGCUUAAACAACCCUGAAACACCAAUUCUUCCAGUCCUCUCAGUGUGUUUUAAAUGCUUUGAACAGCUACAGACAUUAGACAGCAAACAUAUUUAUUGGUUUUCCUCUCUCUCUAACUUUUUUUGUUCAUCUGCAUCCAUUCCUCUUAGGCCUGGCAGAUUCUAAACGAAGGUUAGAAUGGAAGCCCAGCAGGCCUGAGGUCUUGUUGAAAAAUGCCUCAUUAAAGCAAAGUAAGGAGCAUUUUAAGAAGAUCUGCAGCGUAAUGUGUGUACAAAACAAAUCAUCAAUCUGUCAAAAGUCCAAAUAUGUCAAAGACAGACGAGGAAUUUACAGGUUUCUCUCUCCACAGAGCUUUAAUACCAACUGUAGACACUCUAAGAAUUCCUGAAGGACUUCAGAUUAGGAAGGAACAGAAAGGACACAUUUCAGCCAAGGAAACCUGGUCCAGAGGUUCAUCAACAUCAGCAAUCCUGAUAAUCCAAAAUGAGCACACCUUAAACCAUGUUGGCUGGAAGAAUAGGGAAAUACAAUGUGAGGCUGUUUGUCUCUUGAAGAGUUUCCUUAAUGCCCGAAUUUGUUGCAAGUGUUUUAAGAAGAAAAACAAAAAUCAGAAUGUCAGAAAAGCUUUUUUUAUAGUAGGCUGCAGACCUAACAUUAAGGAAUGGAUGCAAAUGAAUAACAUUUGGUUGACAAAGUCAAACAAUAAAUAUUAUGCCUUCUCACUUUGACAUGCAGGCAUUUGGUGAUGCACUGUGAUAUAAUGUACGCAUACAUACUGUUUUAUGGCUAGAAAUAACAUCACAUCUAUUACAGUAAACAUUAAUGUCUUUUAAUGUAACCCGUCUCUGGUUCAGCUUCAUUUACAUUCUGUUUCGGUCCUUUAUUUGAAAUAAACAUGUUCCUUUUUAUCUUGAAUCAGCAGUCAGUGUUUCAGUCAUACUGACUUCAAGGACCUGAUAAAGUUCCCAUAGACCAGAACAGCAGCAGACAGGAGAUCAUCAUUGAACAUCAUAGAGGACAUGGUUGACAUUUGAAUGACGAAUGUAUGUGAAGAAACUUGUGCCAUCACAAACUGAAUUUGAAUUGCUCAGACUGAAUCUGUAUUUGCGUAAUUUGAAUUAAUGCAUCGGUUUAAAAAUGAAUUUCACUAAACUGAAUUUGUUUGCUUUGAAAAUGGCUUUGCUUCUUAUUGAAAAUUCAGUUUGAUUAUUUUCACUUCUAAAAAUUCUGUUUUUUGUGUCACACAUCAGGGCCCUUGAAGCCACAGAUUAAUCAAACACAGAUUUACUGAUUCAUGGAUGUCAUUCACUAUUGCUGUGUCCAAAUUCAGGGGUUGCAUCCUUUUGAAGGUCGCAUUUAUAGGCCGAUUACGUCAUGGAGAAGCAACGAACCCUAUCCAACUUCGAAGGCUCCUUCAAAUGCGUCCUUCUUUUCACCAGAUUUGAUGGGGGAAAAUGGGUCCGGUGUAUCCUUUACCCUAUCCCAUGAUUCAUUGCGGGUCGAGGUCCAUUGUUUAAACAAAAGUAACAAAGACCGGAUAUGCAGUGCAUUCUUUGAAACAAAAUGAACUUUUACAAUGUUUUUAGACAAGAAUGCAGUUGUGUAAAUCUGAAAUACCUGACUGGUUUAUAAAGAUAUCGCUUAAUUGCACAAGUGCGCUAACGUGUUCGGAGAUGUCCGCUGGCCCAGCAGCCGGCUCGCCUCGCCAGCUGUCAGCUGACCGGGUGGUUGAGGUGCGCUAAACCCAGAGAGAACAGCUGACUCCCGGCACAUUGUUUUCAAAGUCCUGCUGGUUUUCCCCAAUGGAUGGAAGUUAAACAGAUAUUAAUAUUAGAUAUCAUCUGACUGAAUUAUGUUUGUUUUAUUUACAAUAAUAAUAAUAAUUAUUAUUAUUAUUAUUAGUAGUAGUAGUAGUAGUAGUAGUAUGCUCUACAAAAAAAGUGAUUUAAACUUUGUUAAUAUGUUUAAGUUGUUAAAAGCUUUACAAAUAAAUUAAACAAAUGUUAUUUGUCAUCGCUGUAUUUUAUCUACAGUUUUAGAUUUUUAUAUAUAUGACCAUAAAAAGUUUGAACAUUUUAAAUGGCUUGAUAAUGAACAAGAUCAUAAAACAAGGACAUUUUAAACAAAAUAGGAUUAUAAGCCAUCAUCAAUACGUAAAAGGGUAAAUAAAGUAAUGUUUACUAAAAACAUGAAGUAAACAUGUAGUUAUUUGCAGUGCAGACAGCGGUAUUAACCUUCUGGCUCCAUUUGUUCGGUUUCACAGCUCUGCUCUUCACGCCAGCGCCGUAGAAAGAGAAAGUUACGACACUCCCAUUGACUUCUAUAGAAAGAAUGGAAUGCGGAAGUCACGUGGUUCAUGGAGCUGCUAAUAGGUCCAAACAGCAGCAUUGGACGUAGUUCAUUCUCAGUGCUUCGUAAGGAUUUUUUACGAUAAACCACACGAGAAUGGCUUAAGUGAACUGCAGAACCAUGUUGCAUACAAAGCGCCACAAAGAGUAUCCAUGGCAUUUGGGAGCUCCAUGACAGAUUUAUUGGACCUCGUUCUGAAACGUUUUUCAACUUUCUGGACCAGACUGAAGGCUUCAUGUGAUGGCCGACACAGCACUCCUGGUUUGAAUUCCUUCAGUAUCAAUAGGGUACUGUGCUCUACUUCUGAAGUGUCAUCAGUUUGCUUAAUUGAACUUGAGCAUCCAUCACAGAUGUUGGAAUGUUUGAUGACUUUAUUCACAAUGUAUCCUGUAAGAUGGUACAGAAUACAUGUUUCGCUGUUGGUGAGGUCAGGAGUAUCUGUGUUUCCAAUCAGCUGCGAAGGCCAGGACUGGGAAAUGUCUCCUUAAUGUCCAGGAACUCUGCCAGAAGACUGCCGCCAUCCUCCUGAUAGCUUCCUGAUUUUACAGUUGUAAGAAACUGCCCAACUGAGAUUGAUCUCAGUGCCUGGUGAAACUCCACUGGUGUUGGGACUGGAUUCCUUUGCCUUAUGCAGCUGAACAAGUUUUCAAGGCAGUCCUGAGUAAACCUGCUUGUCAACACAAACAUGUGUCCAUGGUCAAGCAUGUCUUUCUGAAUACCUAAAAUUGUAGAAGUUGCCAUCACAAUUCCUGUUUGCACUGGUUUCCAGCUUCCUGUAGGACCUAUUCUAAGUCCACUGAAGAGUGCCAACAUGUCUUGGAGGAAUUUAAUAGCUUUGUUGUACUCUUCCAUCUUAUGCCUGCUGAGUCCCAUCACAGGGUGACGAGAGGACAUGAGAUCAAACCAGUGGUUCACCUGCUCCAGAAACCAGGCUGUUGUCAGAUUAGAGGUGGGUCGCUGCUCCUGCUCCACCAUGUAUUUCAGACCUGCACUUGCUGACUUACUAAAGACAUUCAAUGCAGGUUUUUUGUGAAAGAUUUGGAGCAAUUUUCAAAGGCAUUUGUUCCUGAAAAUCUACCAAAUCUUUCAAAGGACCCAGUGAAACCUCACUGUGUUGCAGACUCUCUUUUUGUACAAUCUCUGGUGGAAUUGUGAAGGUCUGACCACUAACCAGGGCACUCUUCAAAUUCUUCAUCAGAUGAGGGACAUCUGGCAUGAAGUACAGCCUUUUGUCUGGUCUUACUGGGUGUUGGACAAAUGUUUUCUAGUGGCCGACUCCAAAAGCCCACCACAUCGCUCAGUUAGCACUGCCCAUGUCAGUGAUGAUGUUUACCACAAGACCUAUAGAAGCUGCUCUCUCAAUGAUCUCUAGGAUGACUGGCUUGUAAUUAGCUCCAUUAGUGGAAUUGCCACUAAAAUGGUAACCCACAACUUGCUUCCAUCUUGUUGUACUUCCUGCCAACAUAAAAACACAUGCAUGUGUUGCAGCUCCUGUGUGACCAGGCAGCGUCACAUCCCCGAACAGCUUCCCUGUUCCUAGGUGCAGCUCCACACUAGGGGUGAUUGCCAUUUCAUCUAGAGUUCAUUCCUCCUCUUUGGUUCUGGGCGAUGAAGAAAAAGGGUUGGAACGGCAUCAGCCCUCAGUCUCACUUGGCCUGACUGUGCCCUCACAAACUGUCCUUUUUCAAAGUGUGCCUGUAAAGUGAUUUAUUUAUUUAUUUUCUUGCACAUUUCAUUAGGCCCUUGUGCAUUUUCCAGUGCAGUGUGCAGAUUGAACUUACAGCACAUAGUUUCCUGUUGUUGUGACCUCUGGUGAUGGUGAGGUUGCUUCUACUGACUUGAACCAACCAUUUUUUCCUUCUUUCAGGAUCUUUUGGGAAGCCAUACAUACGGAUUCCUUUCUCUGACCAAUUGGUGCAUCCAAAUGCAGCACACCCAACCAUGGUAGCCUGCUGAACCUACAGAGGAACACAUUUACUUUUUUGUGUGCCUUCUAGCUAUGAUAUUGUUUCUGUAUUGUUUUCUGGGAGGUCAGCAGAUGUGGUGACUGACUUCAAAGGGAGCUGCUGCCAAUGAUGCCAAGGAGGGUGAACCCUCAUUCGGACUUGGGCACAUUUCUACCUUGUCCAGAUUUGAUCAGAUACAGUUUAUUGGUGCAGAUGUAAAUAAUAAACUGUAUAAAUGGUAGUGCAAGUAGUUAUUUAUUAAAGCUAGUUUUGCAUUUUACAUAUCUUACAAUAAAUUGUUUGGUCAUUUA